Molecule: ribosomal RNA, 471 nt
Filed under: Triticum aestivum (bread wheat)
Lineage: Eukaryota; Viridiplantae; Streptophyta; Magnoliopsida; Poales; Poaceae
Description: partial small subunit ribosomal RNA
Source: RNAcentral
AUGGCGUCGUCCUGGUUAGCACAAUUAUUUAUUAAGUUGCGUGUUGAAACUUGGUAUUAUGUUUUUGCUAUUUUCAUGGUGCUUGUUGCGCGGCUUUGCUCCAUGGAGAGGCUGCUUCUCGAGCUCCCCAACACACUCCAGAAAAUACUGGCCGACCAGCUUGGUGCUUUUCAGAGGUACACGUCGUGCCUACACCUAUUUGCAAGCACACAUGUUCAUGUCAGAAUUGAAGUUCCCGCCCAAAAAUUGUGCUCUUCUUUACCUUGGCCCGCCCAAAAAUUUCUAUGUAGCUCCGCCACUGCCCCUAUGAAUCCUGAUGUGCUUGACAAGAGAAGAGGUUGGCCGCCCUUUUUCCUGCUGGUAGCUUGCCAUUUCUCACGCAUGCCCUUCACUGCAGCAUGGUAUGAAGAACAUGGGGACGGGGAGCCUCUCCAACUGGUGGUUGAGCACGGCGGAGCGCCUCAAGGCUGA